CACUGAUAAUGCCACCAUCGAUUCCUACCUCAGAUCUGGCACUAAUGGCCUGCAGUGCAAAGAAACAUUGGCAGAUUCAUGGGGGAUGACAUGGAUUUGAUGGAGGACAUGCCAGAAUUCGUGGGUAUAUGAAGAUCUGUGUAUGAUUCACAUUGAAGGCUUACCAUCAAACAAAGAACCUUUGUCAAGCUCUAAACUACCAGGAUGUGUGUUGUGUGUUAUAUACUGCAGUGCCAGAAGACAUGAAGACAGCUGUGACACAGAGCCAUAGGUAGCACAUGAUUCAUGGCUACCAGGAUGACACUGAAGCAGAAGUCCACAGUGAAGUGUUGCAGUCUUUGCAGUAUUUCCCAGGAAGAUGGAAUUGUGAUUUCAGCUGAACCAACACUUCUUCCCUGUAUUUGGGAUAGGAUAGGCUACCAUGUGUCUCCAUCACCAGCCCCAGGCCAGACCUUGAUGAAACAUCAUAUGAGUGAUUAGAAUUAAGCCAAG
This is a long non-coding RNA of Penaeus monodon (black tiger shrimp), 492 nucleotides long. RefSeq lists it as uncharacterized. Lineage: Eukaryota; Metazoa; Arthropoda; Malacostraca; Decapoda; Penaeidae. The record is from RefSeq and is a predicted model, not a curated record. The transcript is spliced from 4 exons.